CCUACGGGUGGCAGCAGUGAGGAAUAUUGGUCAAUGGCCGGAAGGCUGAACCAGCCAAGCCGCGUGAGGGAGGAAGGCGCAGAGCGUCGCAGACCUCUUUUGCCGGGGGACAAAAGGCCGGACUCGUCCGGUCCUGAGGGUACCCGGAGAAAAAGCAUCGGCUAACUCCGUGCCAGCAGCCGCGGUAAUACGGAGGAUGCGAGCGUUAUCCGGAUUCAUUGGGUUUAAGGGGUGCGCAGGCGGGCCUUUAAGCCGGCGGUGAAAUCGCGGGGCUCAACCUGGAGACUGCACUUGAAACUGGGUGUCUUGAGGGCAGGAGAGGAAAGUGGAAUUCCUAGUGUAGCGGUGAAAUGCGUAGAUAUUAGGAGGAACACCAGUGGCGAAGGCGACUUUCUGGACUGUACCUGACGCUGAGGCGCGAAAGCGUGGGUAGCGAACGGGAUUAGAUACCCUUGUAGUC
This 460-nucleotide ribosomal RNA is filed under the name uncultured bacterium. Its description in RNAcentral is "partial 16S ribosomal RNA". It matches the Rfam family "Bacterial small subunit ribosomal RNA", at positions 338 to 795 of the family's 1533-position model. The record is from RNAcentral.